GGGAGCCUCCUGAUCCGUGAACCCGCGCUGGCGGGAGUAGCUACUGACCGCUGGGGACCCCUGCCCAGGCUGUUCGCAUGUGGAAAGGAUUCAGGGAGCAGGCGAUGCCCAAAGCGUGGAGACCAGCACUGCUCUCUCCCCAGUGACAGAGUUCAUGAGGCCCCUUGCCCGGAAUGUCCACAUUUGAAACCUCCCAACACCGAGCCCCAUUUCAAGUAUAACCAGGAGGGAAAAUGGUGCUUGAAAUAAGCAUGCCACAAAGGAAAACCUGCUUUCUCGAAAUGGGCCCUGGCCGCCCAGGCCCUGACCUCCCCGGCCAGGAUGGAACGUUCCAGAGACCCAUUAGUGCCAAAGGCAAAUGAAAACACACCCUGUGAAAAUGUC
RNAcentral lists this long non-coding RNA (384 nucleotides) under Homo sapiens (human). Its description in RNAcentral is "non-protein coding lnc-LMF1-3:11". The record is from RNAcentral. Lineage: Eukaryota; Metazoa; Chordata; Mammalia; Primates; Hominidae.